RNAcentral lists this unclassified non-coding RNA (3491 nucleotides) under Cotesia glomerata. RNAcentral describes it as "uncharacterized LOC123272581, transcript variant X1". The record is from RNAcentral. Lineage: Eukaryota; Metazoa; Arthropoda; Insecta; Hymenoptera; Braconidae.
UCUUGGUAUGACUGUUAAAAGUCUUACAAGUAGUAGAAGAAUCAUUAACAUUCUUAAUCGUUUUGGACAUUGCUGCAACUAUACUACACUGGAGGAGCUGGAAACUGAAGCUACUUAUUCAUCUGUACAUCGCUCUGAAAUUAGUCCACCUGAUAUUAUUCGGAAAUCAUCGUUAUGCACAGGUGUAGCCUUCGAUAACUUUGAUAGGUAUGUUGAUACUCUUAAUGGAAAGGAAACUUUGCAUGACACCGUUGGUAUAAUAUAUCAAAAUAUUGAUAAUGAUGCUUCUAAUGAAAAUGAUAUCGAUUGUAGAAGUGAUCAGUCCGACAUGUUACCACCACCAGCAAAAAGAAGACGAACCUUUGAAGCCAUUGUUCCUGAACUUGUUCCAAUUUCUGCCCGAUUGCAAAUGUUAGAACGAUUAACACCUAUUGAGAACAUAGAGCAAUCUAUUCCGAGUACCUUGCCUUUAGUACAAACUAUUGAUUUAUUACAUAUGACUUCACUCUUUUUCCACGUGCCAAACACUCCAAUGUGGACGGGAUUUAAUUGUAGAAUUAUAAAGGAUAAUACUCCAAAACAAAAAGUAUCUUACCUUACUCCAAUCAAUUUGUCACCAACAGAGACAUCAGUAGUGAAGUUGACAAUGACACAGGCUCAACAAGUUGGUGUGGAAUGUGACCAAAAAUACGUCCAAGUAACAUAUGAUUUGGCCAUUGCUAAAAUAGCUCUCAAAAUUCAGGCAACAGAAACCCCAAAAUUUGAUAAUCUCUUCAUACAUCUUGGCUCAUUUCAUUUGAUGAUGGCAUUUUUUAAAGCGAUUGGAGUAUUUAUCAAUGAGUGUGGAUUAUCACAUAUGAUGGUUGAAAGUAAGAUCAUAGCAUCAGGCUCCGUGAACGGAAUCAUUGAAGGCAAACAUUUUAAUCGUUGUAAACGUCUGCAUCCGUUGAUGGCUGUAGGUUUGCAAAUAUUACAUUUUGACCAAUACUUGAAAACAAAACAAGUCGAACACAAUUUUUUAAAAGAACAAAUCAUUGAUGAUCUUUUACAAUAUCAAAAUCGUGAAAUUUCCCAUUCAACUACGACUGCUGAAUUAUUACCAAAUCAAGUAUUGUUUCGGCUGCUCUCUUCGUAUCAAAAAUUCGUAGAUAAAACAAGACAAGGUGAUCAUGGUAAAACUGCUCAGUUCUACAUGAUCUACAUACAACUAGUAAAUUAUUACAUCAUUUUAUCAAGGAGUAUACGCAUGGGUGAUUUUGAAACGUUUAAGCAUGUAAUUCCAAAAAUCACAAAUUUAUUUUUUAUGUUUAAUCAGCCAAACUACGCUCGAUGGUGUGUUAAAUAUUAUGAGAAUCUGAAGAACGUUGACGAAACACAUCCAGGACUUAAAGAGGACUUCAAAUCUGGAUGUUUUGGAAUUAAAAGAACUGAUAAACCUUUUUCGAGAAUACCAAUAGAUCUUACGUUGGAACAGACUAUAAAUGCAGAUGCAGCUAAACGUCUCAGCGGUAUUGCACAUUUUACAAAUUCGAUAGCUGCACGUCAACGCUGGACAAAAAGCCAUAGUAUUAGGGCUGCUUUGAUUUCCCAUGUUCUCGAUGUUUGUGGAUUAAGACACUUGCAAGACGUUACCGCAGACUUACAACCUAAUCGGAUUAAAAUUUUUGAAAAACAACUUGCUGAUUUUAUCGAUAUUUUUGAAAAAAACUGUAAUCCGUUUGAUCCAGAUCUAAACAAAGAUAAUAUUUACAAUAUAGCUACUGGAAAGCCGGCCUCUCAACAUAUAGCUGAGUUCCUACUGAACGUCGAAGAAAAUGGUGAUGAGUUAAGGAAACAGUUCAUUACUGAAUGUGCUAUAGAUGAAAAUAGAUUUGACAAACCGAUAAAAAAAAAUAAAAUACUUAACUUCGCUGAGGCUCCAAAAAAAAAAAAAAUUAACUCUCGGAAAUAAAGUUAUCGAGCUGAGAAUGCAACGCGAUUUAUUUGGGAGAAUGUUAGGAAUAUCGUUAACUCAUAAAGUUGAUAUUGAAAAAGUUUUAACAUUUCCACUGACACCAGUGCCAACAUCAAUGUGCCACGCAGAUGGCAGUAUUUGUAAAACUGACAAAUCUCAAUUGCUUAAAUUGAUUGAGAAGAAAAUCGGUGGUAACGUCGAUAAGCCACCUUCAUCUUUUAAUUCAGCUAUUUUAGAUGGUUUCUUCAUGUUACACUUAAUGAAAGAAGUACCUGUAACCUUCGAUGCUUUAUCUAAAAAAUUUCUGAGUAUGAUACUACGAUUUAAAUCCAAUCGUGUCGAUAUUGUCUUCGAUCAAUAUUUUACACCGUCAAUCAAAGAUUUUGAGCGUUCACGUCGGGAUGAAAUAAUCAGCCAAGUUACAAUCGGGCCCAAUCAAAUUCGUCCACAUAAUUUUAUAGCUGAACUUAAAAAUAUAUAUUUUAAAGAAGCCCUUGUUAAUUUUUUUAUUGACCAUUGGGCUGGUGAUGAAAUGGCUCCUAUCAUUAGAGAUAAAAUAAUUUAUGUGAACUUCAACAAGUGCUAUUCAUACCGGGUUGAAAGUAAUAAAGUUAUUAAAACUGUUGAAGAUUCACUGUCUUGCGAAGAACACGAAGAAGCCGAUUCUCGAAUAAUAUAUCACAUUUGCCAAAUAAAUGUCGAUGGUGAAGUUGUGAUACGCUGCUCAGACACAGAUAUUUUAAUAAUACUUCUUGGUAACAUGGAUCAUUUGAAUGCAUCACUAAAAAUCUGGAUAAAUUUGGGCGUGGGGAAUCAUGAGCGAUUUAUAAGCGUCAAUCAAGUGCACGAAAUUCUAGGGAAUUCUUUAUCGAAAGCUCUACCGUGCUUUCAUGCACUCACGGGAUGCGACUACACACCAGCUUUUUUCCGGAAAGGUAAACUUCGACCUUUUAAACUGUUAGAGCAAUCAGAAGAGUAUCAAUUAGCCUGUCAAAAUAUUAUAACAGAUGAUGAAGAAUUGCUGGAUGAGACAUUUAAGAUCUUAGAAAAGUUUAUUUGUCACAUUUACGGAGCUCGUGAUUCUUGGAACGUCAAUGAAGUUCGGUUUCAUCUGUUUUCAAACACUUAUUGGUCUAAAAAAUCAGAUGAUAAUUUUGAAAAAAAAUUUCGUAAUUUUGAUCCAUCAAGCCUACCACCAUGCAAAGCUGAAUUGUAUCAGCAUUUACUACGAAUUCGUUACGUAACAAAGUUUUGGAGAAAUGCUCAUUUACAACACCCAACAUCUCUAUCACCUCAAGCUUCUGGCUGGACCAUAAAUGACGAUAAAUAUGAUUUUAUCUGGUUUGUUGGAGAGCAGUUACCAUCAUUAGUUGCCGACAUUAUCAUUAAAGAUAAUAGCUUAUUACAAGACGAUGAUAAUCCAAAAGACGACGAUGACAAUGAAAAUGACAGCAGUGAUGAAGAUGAUGAUGAUGAUAAUUAUCAAGAUGCUUCCGUUUUUUGUGACACAAUUAUGGAUUAAAAAAUAUAAUUUUUG